GGCUGUUAUAUAUGUCAGUUAAAAAGAAGUUUAUUUUAACAGUUAAAAAAGUAGAGGUUUUUGGUCUAGUAUGGUUCAGACUGGUCGAGCAUUGUUCAGACCUUUGGUUAAGUAUGGUUUAGACUGGAAAAAUAGGCCAUUUCAGACUUUAAUGGUUUGUAGUGUGUAGUAUUCCAAAUGUUUUCGCCACUGACAUCAAAUAUCUUCCUAUUGUAGAAUCAACACUUACAUAAUAAUAUCAUCUUUUAAAAUAUUAAUAAAACAAGC
This 267-nucleotide long non-coding RNA is filed under the name Mytilus galloprovincialis (Mediterranean mussel). Lineage: Eukaryota; Metazoa; Mollusca; Bivalvia; Mytilida; Mytilidae. The record is from RNAcentral.